UCUCAAUGAUAUGGCAGUGAAUAUAGCAUUGCAUAUAUGCCAUUACUGUUAUGACGUCGUGGUACUGUGAAUUGUAUUCGUGUAUAUUUAGAGGUUUUAGACACUGCGGAAGAUACGGAAUGGUCUAGAUACAUGCAGAGCUGAAAUCAAUUGGUGAUUUGAACUAUUUUAAGAGAAACUUAAGAAUUUUUAACUUAAGACUAGAAUUUUUCAGCAAUCUGCCUGACAAUUCGUUUCUGUGAUAUUUUGGUUGCAAUUUUAAAACAUAGGUACAGAUGACCAAACAGUUUCGCCGUAUACGCAUGCAAUGUACCGAUCAAUUCGAAACUUCAACACCCCCCCCCCCGGGCAUAUCCCGGGAAUUUGACUUCAAGUCUUCUCCAGGGAGUAGGGAAUUUGACGUUCUAAGUCUUCCAUGUGGUGGGGUAUUUAGUAGUGGUGGGGUAUUUGGUAAGGGUGGAGAAUUUGAACUGAAAGUCUUAAAAUUUUGCCCGUUUUCGCGUGCUUCGUGCAUGCAGGCUACUAAUUAUUAAAACACUACAGAAAAGACUUCGCAUUGGCGGCAAAUACAGUUUUCUCAGAUUUCGAGAGAAAAGGGCUCAAUUUUGUUAAAAACUGACUCAAAAAACGGGCAUGGAAAAGCUAUGUGCUUCACUUGAAGGUAUGUACUAUAAAAUUGUGUAAAACUGUUAAAUUCCCAUAAGGUUUCCAAACUUUUUAAGU
Molecule: non-coding RNA, 723 nt
Organism: Paramuricea clavata
Lineage: Eukaryota; Metazoa; Cnidaria; Anthozoa; Malacalcyonacea; Plexauridae
Source: the annotation of a GenBank genome assembly